AGGACGAACGCUGGCGGCGUGCUUAACACAUGCAAGUCGAACGGUAAGGCCCCUUCGGGGGUACACGAGUGGCGAACGGGUGAGUAACACGUGGGUAAUCUGCCCUGCACUUCGGGAUAAGCCUGGGAAACUGGGUCUAAUACCGGAUAUGAGCUCCUGCCGCAUGGUGGGGGUUGGAAAGUUUUUCGGUGCAGGAUGAGUCCGCGGCCUAUCAGCUUGUUGGUGGGGUAAUGGCCUACCAAGGCGACGACGGGUAGCCGGCCUGAGAGGGUGAUCGGCCACACUGGGACUGAGACACGGCCCAGACUCCUACGGGAGGCAGCAGUGGGGAAUAUUGCACAAUGGGCGGAAGCCUGAUGCAGCGACGCCGCGUGGGGGAUGACGGUCUUCGGAUUGUAAACCCUUUCAGUAGGACGAAGCGAAAGUGACGGUACCUGCAGAAGAAGCACCGGCUAACUACGUGCCAGCACGCCGC
This 475-nucleotide ribosomal RNA is filed under the name uncultured soil bacterium. Its description in RNAcentral is "bacterial SSU rRNA". It matches the Rfam family "Bacterial small subunit ribosomal RNA", at positions 26 to 518 of the family's 1533-position model. The record is from RNAcentral.